GUCGGUGCCUAUAACGCUGAGGGUCCACCCGUUCCCAUUCCGAACACGGCAGUUAAGCUCAGCGGUGCCUAAAAUACUUGGCUGGUAACGGCCCGGAAAAAUCGGUCGGCGCCGACU
RNAcentral lists this ribosomal RNA (117 nucleotides) under Clostridiales bacterium. The record is from RNAcentral. Lineage: Bacteria; Bacillati; Bacillota; Clostridia; Eubacteriales.